This is an RNA transcript of Xenia sp. Carnegie-2017, 1900 nucleotides long. It is a transcript of the gene named la-related protein 7-like, with no coding region annotated. The transcript is spliced from 11 exons. Lineage: Eukaryota; Metazoa; Cnidaria; Anthozoa; Malacalcyonacea; Xeniidae. The record is from RefSeq and is a predicted model, not a curated record.
GUUUUGAAGACGCUCACGCGUCACGCGCGUCAAACACGCACAUGGGGAACUGAGUCGAGAAAACUGUCAUGGCGGAUAAUUUGAUAUUCAUUUAACAUGUACUAUAUUUCAACAAUUUUGAUUUGUUAUUAAGCAAAUUUACUUGCUUUUGAUUUUAGUAAUAUUUCAAUGGAAGGGAAUAAUGCGAAAAGUGAUAAAACAGACAAUUUUGAGUCAAAAGGCAACGAUAUACCGACGGAGAAAAAGCAGAGACAUCGCGAAAAGAAGGUCAUAGCUGAUCCUAUAAAGCAGAUUGAGUUUUAUUUUAGCGAUCCCAAUCUUCAGAAGGAUAGAUUUUUAAGACAAAAAAUAACAGAAAGCGAGAAUGGAAGUAUUGAAAUUGGGACGAUUGCAAAUUUCAAUAGAAUGAAACAGUUGUGUGGGGAUUUUUCUCUUGUUGUAAAAGCAAUGAAACGAUGUUCGUCUAUUGAGGUGAUUGAUGAGAAAUGGUUGAAACUAUCGAAGCCACUGCCAGAACCAAAAAAUGUUGAUUUACAAACAAUUUAUGUUGAAGGAUUACCAUCUAAUGCUGAACAUAAGUGGUUAAAAUCAUUGUUUUCAUCUUGUGGCAAUGUGGUUUACGUCAGUUUGCCUCUGCACAAGUUGAACAAAAAAAUAAAAGGUUUUGCUUUUGUUGAGUUUGAGAAUGAAAGUGAAGCUGAUGCUGCACUGAAGGAAGGACCAGACAUGUUAACUGUAGAAGAUGAGGAAAUUGAUAAAUUUAGCAUUGAAAACGCUGAGAAGAAAAGGAAACGAAAAUGUACCUCAAAUGACUCUGAAAAUGCGAAAGAAACUGAAAUUCAAACACUUAAAGAACGACGAUGUAGAAGAAGUAAUCAUUUUGAAAGAACUUGAACCAACAAAAACUAAAAUCGAAAAAGGCAAUGCACUGGAAAUUUUUAAAAAGACGGUGAAAAAGGAAAGUGAAAAUGGGAGGAAAAUAAGUGGAAGCAAUGAAGAUUCUGAUGAACAAAAAACAAAGAAACGUAAACGAUGUCUGAAGACAACGGGCACGAGGCUACUGCAAAUAAGAAAAACAAACAGAUCGACAAAGGAGACAAUAUUCAUGAACAAGAAUUUAAAAAUGACGUGUAGAUUGAGGAAAAACACGUAGAGACGAAAAUGAAAAAACGAAAGCGGACAAAAAAAGUAAAAGACAAUAUUGAAUUGGAAAAACCAAAACUUCGAGUCAUAUCAAAGAUGGAAUGGUUAAAGUUAAAGAAUGAAUAUCGGCAAUUACAAAAACAAGCGAUGAAAGAUGCUAAACAAAAACUGAAGAUCGAGUUUGAGGAAAAGAAUUUAGAGUGUUCAACUGCAGAAGUUCCACAGCGAAAAAUAAAGGAUAAAGUGAAUUGUAAAGCAGAAAAUGAUGAUAAAGAUGAGAAAAAACUUCCUGAAAAACUUGAACGGCAGAAUGGCGUUGUUCUAAGGUUUAAAUCAAAUGAAAAUGUUGACUCAAAAGAGGUACUGGACAUAUUUUCAACAAUUACCACUGUAGCUUAUCUUGAAAUGAACGAUAACAAAAAAGGAGGUUAUGUACGGUUCCCGACAAAGCAAAUGUACGAGAGAUAUUAAGAGAGAUUAAAUAUAGAGCGAACUCAACGAUUUAUGAACAAAAAGAAAAGGAAAAAAAAUACCAGAGGAAGGCAAAAGAUUACCAAGAAAGUUGAUGAACAUAAUGCAAGAAAGAAAGAACAUAUCCAUUUUAAUAACUAGUUAGUAGGCAUUAAAAAGUAACAUUAAAAUGUCCAAUUAUGUGCAUGCUCAAUAUUUCAAGUGUUAUUUUUGUUGUUUUUGUGUCAAGUUUAGUUGGUACACUACUCUUUUUCAAUAAAGCUUGGUAUAUUUUUGUCACCCUUGA